CCUACGGGAGGCAGCAGUGGGGAAUAUUGCACAAUGGGGGGAACCCUGAUGCAGCGACGCCGCGUGGGUGAUGAAGUACUUCGGUAUGUAAAGCUCUAUCAGCAGGGAAGAAAAUGACGGUACCUGAACAAGAAGACCCGGAUAACUAAGUUCCAGCAGCCGCGGUAAUACGUAGGGGGCAAGCGUUAUCCGGAUUUACUGGGUGUAAAGGGAGCGUAGACGGGGUGCCAAGUCUGGGGUGAAAGGCCGGGGCUCAACCCCCGGACUGCAUUGGAAACUGGCAUGCUGGAGUGCAGGAGGGGCAAGCGGAAUUCCUAGUGUAGCGGUGAAAUGCGUAGAUAUUAGGAGGAACACCGGUGGCGAAGGCGGCUUACUGGACUGUAACUGACGUUGAGGCUCGAAAGCGUGGGGAGCAAACAGGAUUAGAUACCCUGGUAGUC
Molecule: ribosomal RNA, 440 nt
Filed under: uncultured bacterium
Lineage: Bacteria
Description: partial 16S ribosomal RNA
Rfam family: Bacterial small subunit ribosomal RNA
Source: RNAcentral